RNAcentral lists this transfer RNA (64 nucleotides) under Branchipolynoe pettiboneae. RNAcentral's name for it is "tRNA-Ala". The record is from RNAcentral. Lineage: Eukaryota; Metazoa; Annelida; Polychaeta; Phyllodocida; Polynoidae.
GUAAUGUUAGUUUAAUAAGAACCCUUGUAUUGCAAAUAAGUAGAGGAGAAGCCUUCACAUUUCA